GGGUUGUGAGGUUAAGCGACUAAGCGUACACGGUGGAUGCCCUGGCAGUCAGAGGCGAUGAAGGACGUGCUAAUCUGCGAUAAGCGCCGGUAAGGUGAUAUGAACCGUUAUAACCGGCGAUUUCCGAAUGGGGAAACCCAGUGUGAUUCGUCACACUAUCAUUAACUGAAUCCAUAGGUUAAUGAGGCGAACCGGGGGAACUGAAACAUCUAAGUACCCCGAGGAAAAGAAAUCAACCGAGAUUCCCCCAGUAGCGGCGAGCGAACGGGGAGGAGCCCAGAGCCUGAAUCAGCAUGUGUGUUAGUGGAAGCGUCUGGAAAGGCGCGCGAUACAGGGUGACAGCCCCGUACACAAAAGCGCAUGUGCUGUGAGCUCGAUGAGUAGGGCGGGACACGUGGUAUCCUGUCUGAAUAUGGGGGGACCAUCCUCCAAGGCUAAAUACUCCUGACUGACCGAUAGUGAACCAGUACCGUGAGGGAAAGGCGAAAAGAACCCCGGCGAGGGGAGUGAAAAAGAACCUGAAACCGUGUACGUACAAGCAGUGGGAGCCCCACCACCAAAGCAUUCUCUGGUGUUGAAGGCCCUGCAAAGCAGCAUCGCGGUGGCGGAGCGUCGUUUGCGACGCCCAACACACAAAACAAGCGGUGAAUGCUUUGGGGUGGGGUGACUGCGUACCUUUUGUAUAAUGGGUCAGCGACUUAUAUUCUGUAGCAAGGUUAACCGUAUAGGGGAGCCGGAGGGAAACCGAGUCUUAAUUGGGCGUUAAGUUGCAGGGUAUAGACCCGAAACCCGGUGAUCUAGCCAUGGGCAGGUUGAAGGUUGGGUAACACUAACUGGAGGACCGAACCGACUAAUGUUGAAAAAUUAGCGGAUGACCUGUGGCUGGGGGUGAAAGGCCAAUCAAACCGGGAGAUAGCUGGUUCUCCCCGAAAGCUAUUUAGGUAGCGCCUCGUGAAUUCAUCUCCGGGGGUAGAGCACUGUUUCGGCUAGGGGGCCAUCCCGGCUUACCAACCCGAUGCAAACUGCGAAUACCGGAGAAUGUUAUCACGGGAGACACACGGCGGGUGCUAACGUCCGUCGUGAAGAGGGAAACAACCCAGACCGCCAGCUAAGGUCCCAAAGUCAUGGUUAAGUGGGAAACGAUGUGGGAAGGCCCAGACAGCCAGGAUGUUGGCUUAGAAGCAGCCAUCAUUUAAAGAAAGCGUAAUAGCUCACUGGUCGAGUCGGCCUGCGCGGAAGAUGUAACGGGGCUAAACCAUGCACCGAAGCUGCGGCAGCGACGCUGAUGCGUUGUUGGGUAGGGGAGCGUUCUGUAAGCCUGCGAAGGUGACCUGUGAGGGUUGCUGGAGGUAUCAGAAGUGCGAAUGCUGACAUAAGUAACGAUAAAGCGGGUGAAAAGCCCGCUCGCCGGAAGACCAAGGGUUCCUGUCCAACGUUAAUCGGGGCAGGGUGAGUCGACCCCUAAGGCGAGGCCGAAAGGCGUAGUCGAUGGGAAACGGGUUAAUAUUCCCGUACUUGGUGUUACUGCGAAGGGGGGACGGAGAAGGCUAUGUUGGCCGGGCGACGGUUGUCCCGGUUUAAGCGUGUAGGUGUGUGUUCCAGGUAAAUCCGGUUCACUUUAACACUGAGGCGUGACGACGAGGCACUACGGUGCUGAAGCAACAAAUGCCCUGCUUCCAGGAAAAGCCUCUAAGCAUCAGGUAACACGAAAUCGUACCCCAAACCGACACAGGUGGUCAGGUAGAGAAUACCAAGGCGCUUGAGAGAACUCGGGUGAAGGAACUAGGCAAAAUGGUGCCGUAACUUCGGGAGAAGGCACGCUGACACGUAGGUGAAGUGAUUUACUCAUGGAGCUGAAGUCAGUCGAAGAUACCAGCUGGCUGCAACUGUUUAUUAAAAACACAGCACUGUGCAAACACGAAAGUGGACGUAUACGGUGUGACGCCUGCCCGGUGCCGGAAGGUUAAUUGAUGGGGUCAGCGUAAGCGAAGCUCCUGAUCGAAGCCCCGGUAAACGGCGGCCGUAACUAUAACGGUCCUAAGGUAGCGAAAUUCCUUGUCGGGUAAGUUCCGACCUGCACGAAUGGCGUAAUGAUGGCCAGGCUGUCUCCACCCGAGACUCAGUGAAAUUGAACUCGCUGUGAAGAUGCAGUGUACCCGCGGCAAGACGGAAAGACCCCGUGAACCUUUACUAUAGCUUGACACUGAACAUUGAGCCUUGAUGUGUAGGAUAGGUGGGAGGCUUUGAAGUGUGGACGCCAGUCUGCAUGGAGCCGACCUUGAAAUACCACCCUUUAAUGUUUGAUGUUCUAACGUGGACCCGUAAUCCGGGUUGCGGACAGUGUCUGGUGGGUAGUUUGACUGGGGCGGUCUCCUCCUAAAGAGUAACGGAGGAGCACGAAGGUUGGCUAAUCCUGGUCGGACAUCAGGAGGUUAGUGCAAUGGCAUAAGCCAGCUUGACUGCGAGCGUGACGGCGCGAGCAGGUGCGAAAGCAGGUCAUAGUGAUCCGGUGGUUCUGAAUGGAAGGGCCAUCGCUCAACGGAUAAAAGGUACUCCGGGGAUAACAGGCUGAUACCGCCCAAGAGUUCAUAUCGACGGCGGUGUUUGGCACCUCGAUGUCGGCUCAUCACAUCCUGGGGCUGAAGUAGGUCCCAAGGGUAUGGCUGUUCGCCAUUUAAAGUGGUACGCGAGCUGGGUUUAGAACGUCGUGAGACAGUUCGGUCCCUAUCUGCCGUGGGCGCUGGAGAACUGAGGGGGGCUGCUCCUAGUACGAGAGGACCGGAGUGGACGCAUCACUGGUGUUCGGGUUGUCAUGCCAAUGGCACUGCCCGGUAGCUAAAUGCGGAAGAGAUAAGUGCUGAAAGCAUCUAAGCACGAAACUUGCCCCGAGAUGAGUUCUCCCUGAGACUUAGAGUCUCCUGAAGGAACGUUGAAGACGACGACGUUGAUAGGCCGGGUGUGUAAGCGCAGCGAUGCGUUGAGCUAACCGGUACUAAUGAACCGUGAGGCUUAACCUUACAACGCCGAAG
This 3029-nucleotide ribosomal RNA is filed under the name Salmonella enterica subsp. enterica serovar Typhimurium. Its description in RNAcentral is "23S ribosomal RNA". It matches the Rfam family "Bacterial large subunit ribosomal RNA". Lineage: Bacteria; Pseudomonadati; Pseudomonadota; Gammaproteobacteria; Enterobacterales; Enterobacteriaceae. The record is from RNAcentral.